Molecule: non-coding RNA, 45 nt
Organism: Rhodnius prolixus
Lineage: Eukaryota; Metazoa; Arthropoda; Insecta; Hemiptera; Reduviidae
Source: Rfam
UAAAAGGCCCUUUUCAGGGCCACCAAUUGAUUCACUUGUCAUCUG